UAAUAAUACCUGUUCUCUAAAUAUGUACAAAUAGUUAAAUGUUAAUUAAAUCAACCAAAUCCUGUUUAAACAUCAAAAACCCAAAACUGUUAAAAAAUCUUGGUUAUUAUCUGAAAAAGGCAUCAAUACACAUGUUCUCUGAUGAUGUAAAGAUAGCGAUAUUCAUAAAACACUAAUGACCCAAGUACAACUCUAUAAAACAUGAACAAGCAAAACUGAAGUGCAGCAAACCAACUGUACAGUUAAAUUUCAUCUUAAGACAAUAUUAUCACAUUGAAUAUAGAAAUAACAAAGAAUACUUUGUAUGGUCUAAAUACUGUAAAUUCAAAUAUUAUCGUUUGCAUUCAAUGAGAUUGUUGGACAAUCGAUAUAAAUGUGAGGUUGUUUUUUUUGGCGAUUUUGGAAAAUGCUGAAUACAAAUAAUGCUAUCAAAAUUUAAAAUGCAACCUUUUGUCUUGGUGACACAUAUAUCGUUGAAACCUUUUGUCUUCGUGACACAUAUCUCGUUGAAACUUCUUUUUUUUCUUUGUGACACAUAUCUCGUUGAAACUUCUUUUUUUUCUUUGUGACACAUAUCUUGUUGAAACUUCUUUUUUUUCUUUAUGACACAUAUCUCGUUGAAACUUCUGACUAUAAAGCAUAGCUAAAUAUCAAAUGAAAUCUGUCAAAUACAAAUGUACUUCUGAUAAAUUAAUGCACAUGCAAAAUGCUCUAAUGGUAAUCAUUUCUACUAUAUAGCUAAAGUGUAAAACACAUAAACUACAAAAGAUGAAGCCGUUGAAAUAAUGCCGAAGUCUUGUAUCCAUAAUUACAUUCAUAGAAAAAAUGAUAAAGCUGUUAAGGUGGUACCUAACACCUUAACUCAAAUAAAUGUGGCUCGUUUAAUUUUCAUAAGGUUUAAACAAAAUACUUAUUUUGACCCUUUGACAAAAAUAUAUAAAUUUUAAAGAUCUUUAAACCACACAUUUUCUCUGAAAAAUUUCAUAGGAUAUAUAGCAGUUUGACAAACACUAAUUUUGAUCAUUGAUAAGCUUAAUAUUUCCUUAUAAUUAUAAGAGUACAACGAGAUUAAAACAUUUAGCUUAUUUUUACAGAGUUAUCUCCCUGUAGUGUUAGGUACCAUCUCUAGAUAAUUACAGAGUUAUCUCCCUGUAGUGUUAGGUACCAUCUCUAGAUAUUUACAGAGUUAUCUCCCUGUAGUGUUAGGUACCAUCUCUAGAUAAUUACAGAGUUAUCUCCCUGUAGUGUUAGGUACCAUCUUAAGAUUUUUACAGAGUUGUCUCCCUGUAGUGUUAGGUACCAUCUUAAGAUUUUUACAGAGUUGUCUCCCUGUAGUGUUAGGUACCAUCUUAAGAUAAUUUAAUAACCUGCACCAUAUCCAGAUGAAAUCUAAUAAAUAAGUUCAUGCCUAAUACUUUGUUUAGAUAUCCUAGUGUGACAGUCCAACACAUAGGCAUUUUACCCAGUUGUACUAAUAUAACUAUAUGGUGUUCAAGGAACAAACAAGUCAUACACAAUCAUAUUAUACAAUUGGACAACUUCAUCUCAGUUUUGUUUCACAGAAAAAAAAGUGCUUGAAAAAAACAUAUAGAUACCAAAUUGAACAGGAUGGACUAGGAUGGACUUGUUUUAUUGAUUUAUAUUGAUAAAGACAAAUGGAAUGUUGUCCGGAAAGACUAGAAUCACACUUUAAAAUGCCAUCACAGGGACAGAAGGGACAUAAAAUGUGAUCACUUUUUACCUAAGUCCCACGAAAUCAAAUGUUUCUCUUCUCAAGUCACAGGUAAGGGAGGGACAUAAAAUGUGAUUUCUUCUAAUCAGAGCCCCAAGAAAUCAAAUUUUCUAAAGUCACAGGGCAGGGAAGGACAUAAAAUCGUCACAUUAAGGAUGUACUUAGGUGAGGUUUUGGAAUUUGUGUUAAAUGUUCGGACUCCUUGGUGUUUUUCCAUACAAUACAAUGUAAAAUAUUUUGCCCCAUAACACCCAUUUAUCUUUUUAUAUAAGACUUAAUAGCUCAUGAAAGGUCAUUUACCAAAAUUUUAAAAGAUUCUUAAUUUUUUUCUUUUGUUUUGAGACCUAAUGAUACCAAUGCAAAUAUAAGGUAAAAGUCCGAGUCAGCCUUUUCCCGCCAUAUUUUAAAUCUCAAAUAUCUCGAAAAGGAGGUCCAUGACCUAUCAAUAUUUUUAGCUUAUUUUUAUCCUUGAUUGAUGCUCUACCAGCUUAUAGUAUCAAUUUUAACUUCUUAAUUUAUUAAUUUUCACCUAACCUCACCUAAGUACAUCCUUAAGCACUAAAUGUUGCUUCAUAUUUCAUAUUAGAUUUGUUAAUUAUAUAAAAAUAUAUGUCAAAAAUAUAAAAUAAUCUUAAUAUGGUUUAAAACAUUUGUUUAUAUACAUACCCGGUAUAUAUUUAUUGACUAGUUACAC
RNAcentral lists this long non-coding RNA (2426 nucleotides) under Mytilus galloprovincialis (Mediterranean mussel). The record is from RNAcentral. Lineage: Eukaryota; Metazoa; Mollusca; Bivalvia; Mytilida; Mytilidae.